UCUCUGAUAGCUCAGUUGGUAAGGAAUCUGCCUGCAAUGCAGGAGACCCUGGUUCAAUUCCUGGGUUGGGAA
Molecule: transfer RNA, 72 nt
Filed under: Bos taurus (domestic cattle)
Lineage: Eukaryota; Metazoa; Chordata; Mammalia; Artiodactyla; Bovidae
Also listed under: 3 other names
Rfam family: tRNA
About the family: Transfer RNA (tRNA) molecules are approximately 80 nucleotides in length. Their secondary structure includes four short double-helical elements and three loops (D, anti-codon, and T loops).
Source: Rfam by way of RNAcentral